RNAcentral lists this long non-coding RNA (1136 nucleotides) under Anthonomus grandis grandis. RNAcentral's name for it is "uncharacterized LOC126749444". Lineage: Eukaryota; Metazoa; Arthropoda; Insecta; Coleoptera; Curculionidae. The record is from RNAcentral.
AUUAAUUUUAAAAGGGCUUGUUUUUUGAAAUAUCAUUUAAAAAGAUAUUAAGUAAGAAACCGCCUUUAUUUAUUAUUGGAUGCAGUAUUUUUUUAGGUUUUUUUUUUAGGUUAAAGCAGGAAAAAAAUUAACAUGCCGCACUUUAAAAUUUUAUCGAAACGUCAAAUUCAAAGAAAAAUUAAAUCAAUAGCAACUUUGUUAUUGCAACAAGGUUUGCCCACGAAUAGUGAUAAUGAAACUAAUAUCCCUUCUAUUCCAUUAUUGCCAAAAAACUGCAGUGAAAAUAUAACUACACCUUUAAACACUGUAACCCCAAAGAUUUGUUUAGAGCCUAAUGCAUCCUGUUCUAAAUUUAAUGAAAAUAGUUUGAAUGAGGAAAAUAAUUUAGAAUUCUUGGAAACUGGAUCAACUUUUGAUUUUGAUUCUGUCACUGACUCGUCUGAGGACAACGUAAAUGAUGAUGGUAGUAAAAAUGUAGUUUCCUCGUUAAGCCAAUGGGCUUUAUGGUAAUGGGUACGUCGAUUAGCUGGUUUGGAAGGAUCCGGGGUUGAGGCCGUAACAAGACGUAUUAUGAAAUUUCUACUUACUAAUGAGGUAGGGAACCAAUUUAAUUGGAAGGGCCGCCAUAACAAAGUUAGUUUUGAAACCACUGCCAGUAUGGCUAUUGUUUACGAGGCCGCCAGGCUUAAUUUUCCUAUGGCCGAAAAAAACGAUUUAAAGGUAGCAUGGAGCGUAAAGGAGUGGCUAAAGCAUUCAGCCACACGCAUAAAACAUGGUGAAAGGAUUUAAAUAUUUGCCUCAUCUAUAGGUUACGACGUUUCUGUAAAUGUACAUGUUAUAAACCUUCUUUUUUCUUAAAAAUUAGUUCAGUUGCGUUUAGUCUUAAACAUUGAUUGAGUAAUUUUUUUUAUCAAGUUUACGUUUGUGUAAGAAUACUUUAUUCUAACAGUUUUUUGUUAAACAUUAUUUCAGUUGAACUUAAUUUGAGUAAUGUUAAUAUUUUUUUAUUCUUAGAUUAAUGUUUACGUUUGUGUAGAUAUACAUUAAAAUAUUUACCAUUUCUUUUGGUAUAAAUUGGUUUAGUUACGACUUAUUUAAAGAAUGUUAAUAUUUUUGAUUUUUAAAUAAAGUUUUUG